Molecule: ribosomal RNA, 584 nt
Filed under: uncultured bacterium
Lineage: Bacteria
Description: bacterial SSU rRNA
Rfam family: Bacterial small subunit ribosomal RNA
Source: RNAcentral
CACGCCGCGUGAGGGAUGAAGGCCUCUGGGCUGUAAACCUCUUUUCUCAAGGAAGAAGAACUGACGGUACUUGAGGAAUAAGCCACGGCUAAUUCCGUGCCAGCAGCCGCGGUAAUACGGGAGUGGCAAGCGUUAUCCGGAAUUAUUGGGCGUAAAGCGUCCGCAGGCGGCCUCGUAAGUCUGUCGUUAAAGCGUGGAGCUUAACUCCAUUUCAGCGAUGGAAACUGUGAGGCUUGAGUGUGGUAGGGGCAGAGGGAAUUCCCGGUGUAGCGGUGAAAUGCGUAGAUAUCGGGAAGAACACCAGUGGCGAAGGCGCUCUGCUGGGCCAUAACUGACGCUCAUGGACGAAAGCCAGGGGAGCGAAAGGGAUUAGAUAGCCCUGUAGUCCUGGCCGUAAACGAUGAACACUAGGUGUCGGGGGAAUCGAACCCCUCGGUGUCGUAGCCAACGCGUUAAGUGUUCCGCCUGGGGAGUACGCACGCAAGUGUGAAACUCAAAGGAAUUGACGGGGGCCCGCACAAGCGGUGGAGUAUGUGGUCUAAUUCGAUGCAACGCGAAGAACUUUACAGGGUUUGACAUCCUGC